ACUCCUACGGGAGGCAGCAGUGGGGAAUAUUGCACAAUGGGCGCAAGCCUGAUGCAGCCAUGCCGCGUGUAUGAAGAAGGCCUCGGUUGUAAAGUACUUCUAGCAGUGAGGAAGGUGGGUAGUGUUAAUAGCAUACUCAUUUGUACGUUAGCUGCAGAAGAAGCACCGGCUAACUCCGUGCCAGCAGCCGCGGUAAUACGGAGGGUGCGAGCGUUAAUCGGAAUUACUGGGCGUAAAGCGCAUGCAGGUGGUUUGUUAAGUCAGAUGUGAAAGCCCGGGGCUCAACCUCGGAAUUGCAUUUGAAACUGGCAAACUAGAGUACUGUAGAGGGGGUAGAAUUUCAGGUGUAGCGGUGAAAUGCGUAGAGAUCUGAAGGAAUACCGGUGGCGAAGGCGGCCCCCUGGACAGAUACUGACACUCAGAUGCGAAAGCGUGGGGAGCAAACAGGAUUAGAU
This 455-nucleotide ribosomal RNA is filed under the name uncultured bacterium. RNAcentral describes it as "bacterial SSU rRNA". It matches the Rfam family "Bacterial small subunit ribosomal RNA", at positions 335 to 783 of the family's 1533-position model. The record is from RNAcentral.